Molecule: non-coding RNA, 82 nt
Organism: Acanthosepion pharaonis
Lineage: Eukaryota; Metazoa; Mollusca; Cephalopoda; Sepiida; Sepiidae
Source: the annotation of a GenBank genome assembly
CGUACGAUCACCGAAGUUAAACAGCGUAGAGCCAGGUCAGUACUUAGAUGGGGGACCGCUUGGAAACACCUGGUACUGUAAG